Molecule: ribosomal RNA, 440 nt
Filed under: uncultured bacterium
Lineage: Bacteria
Description: partial 16S ribosomal RNA
Rfam family: Bacterial small subunit ribosomal RNA
Source: RNAcentral
CCUACGGGCGGCAGCAGUGGGGAAUAUUGCACAAUGGGGGAAACCCUGAUGCAGCGACGCCGCGUGAGUGAAGAAGUAUUUCGGUACGUAAAGCUCUAUCAGCAGGGAAGAAAAUGACGGUACCUGACUAAGCAGCCCCGGCUAACUACGUGCCAGCAGCCGCGGUAAUACGUAGGGGGCAAGCGUUAUCCGGAUUUACUGGGUGUAAAGGGAGCGUAGACGGCAGCGCAAGUCUGGAGUGAAAUCCCAUGGCUUAACCAUGGAACUGCUUUGGAAACUGUGCAGCUAGAGUGCAGGAGAGGUAAGCGGAAUUCCUAGUGUAGCGGUGAAAUGCGUAGAUAUUAGGAGGAACACCAGUGGCGAAGGCGGCUUACUGGACUGUAACUGACGUGGAGGCGCGAAAGCGUGGGGAGCAAACAGGAUUAGAUACCCGAGUAGUC